AAGGCCUUGCGAGUUGUCGCGGCGUCUUCGGACGCUGAGGAAAGUCCGGACAGGACAGGGCACCCUGCUGUGGAAAGCACAGGUGGGAGUAAUCUUAGGUAGACCGUAACAGAAAAUAACCGCCCGCAAGGGUAAGGGUGAAAACGCGGGGUAAGAGCCCACGAUCGGCGGUGGCGACAUCGUCGGGGUACGGAACCAGGGCCUGCAAAACCAAAUAUACUGGCAGAUGAGGGCUGCCCGCCCGAUGCCAGGGGGUAGGUCGCGAAGAUAAAUGACAACACAAAACAGAAACCGGCUUACGGCAAGACCUUCAGU
This 315-nucleotide RNase P RNA is filed under the name Candidatus Cryptobacteroides caccocaballi. Its description in RNAcentral is "RNase P RNA component class A". It matches the Rfam family "Bacterial RNase P class A". From Rfam's summary of the family: Ribonuclease P (RNase P) is a ubiquitous endoribonuclease, found in archaea, bacteria and eukarya as well as chloroplasts and mitochondria. Its best characterised activity is the generation of mature 5'-ends of tRNAs by cleaving the 5'-leader elements of precursor-tRNAs. Lineage: Bacteria; Pseudomonadati; Bacteroidota; Bacteroidia; Bacteroidales. The record is from RNAcentral.